Molecule: long non-coding RNA, 1365 nt
Organism: Triticum dicoccoides
Lineage: Eukaryota; Viridiplantae; Streptophyta; Magnoliopsida; Poales; Poaceae
Exons: 2
Source: RefSeq, a predicted model, not a curated record
CUCACAGCCGGCGCGCACCUACCUACCUCCCAUGGCCGCCGCGCUCCAACCCCUUCCAACCACUGGCGCCAUGGUGGGAGCCGGUCGCCACCGAAUCCUGCGAGGCCUCCACCACCGGAUCCGGACGCCAUGGCCAUCGGUGCAGCCACAAGCCGACGGAUCCGGCUGCGACCCACCACCUCCUGCGCGUGGUGGCCGGAUGGGAAGGCCGACGAGCUCCAUGCCAUGCUGGGCUCCUCCAGUGCCACCACUUCCUUCUUCCCCUUCGGCCGUACCGCCUCCCGCUCUGCCUCCCCGCACUUUGUCGGCGAGCCGCCAAUCCUCCACGCGCGUUGCCGGUGCCCCGGCCUUUCUUCCCGCAACGCAUCCGACCUUUCUGCUCCCGCCUGCACGUCCUCCCCCCCCUCCACCCUCUCGCAGGCCACGGAUCCGUGGCCCUCAAUCCAUCCCCGGGGAGGAUCCAGGUGAGGUCGAGGGGCACCGUCGCAUCUCCUUUCCCUUCCCCCGGCGUCGUCGACCGUCCCCUCGCCUCGAUCUGCAACGACGCCGAUGACCGACAGUAGGGUGCGCCGCCCUUCCUCUCCCCUCGAAUUUUUGGGGCGCCGACGACACAACGCGGUAUCCGGUGGUCGGGCUCGGGGGUGGAGGCCGCCGCUGAUCCCCUGUUGGAUCUCUUUCCACCAAGACCCGGCGACCUCCCCUUCGAUCUGGUCUCCCGUCGACAACGCCUCCCCCACUCUUCUCCAUGGACGGCUGCGCACAGUCACCAACUCUAGCGCGCGGUUUCACCAGAAGGAGCCCGGGAGCGCCUCUCUCUCACCACCGUGUUCGGCUGGCGACGGCAUGAGGUUCACUAGCUCCUUGCAGUUCUUUUAAUAGGAAAAGGUGGUAGCUCCUGCUUGCAGUUCGCCAUGGUAGAUGGGUUGAUGUAGCCCACUUGAUGGAGUCUUGUGGUUCACUGCAUUCAACAAGGAAAAAGCAAAAGAGUGUAGUCUUGUGAUGCAGCCCAUUUGUUUCAUUUUUGUGUGUAUUUUGAAGAUGGGGUGCAGGAAGACGGUGAUUUUUGUGUGUAUUUUGCUCACGGUUGACAUUUUUUCCACUUUUCAGAUUUUGGCUGCCAUCCCAUGGGCGCACAGGUGCAAUGCUGUGGGGACUGGACAUGCAGUGCGCUGGCACCGGCUUGCAUUUCAUAGACAGAAAUGUGGAUUUAUUUUUGAAGUCCCUCAUCACUGUAAUUUGUGUGUGUUUGUAUUGUGGAUUAAAAAGAGGAACAUUGUAGUUCGUGCGCCCUGUCUCGUAGUCCAGAGAAGUAUAGAUUGCAACUCUAUUGAAAAUGUGCAUUGAAGACAACAACACAUUUUUUAA